CCUAGUGGUGUAAACAUACACCCUUUCACGUUGCACCACCUCUAUGUCUCUCUGUGAUAGAAGGAAAUGCUAAAGUAUUCAUUCAUCCAUUCAUAGCGAAACAUUUAUCCGAUUGCAAAGACAACACAGAUUGCGUUCUUUACCAGGCAGAUAGUUGCAAUGUUGUCUGUUCUAGUAGGGCAGGGGUUGCCCAAUAUUUUUUUUUUUUACCUUACUCAAGUUACUUCAGAUAAGUAAAAAAAAAUGUUCACAGCCACCUGGUGGGAAGAUGAGCUGGAGGUUUUUGUCACAGUAAUUUCAUGGUAAUUUCAGAAGGUUGUUGUCACUAACCACGUUUCCAUCCACAGUUUUUAUGUAAAGUCAUCCCGUAUAAAACAAACAAAUCACGACAGCUGUGACGGAAACAGGGAGACUGGUGGGGUCUUUUUGUGUCUAUAAAAUAAAUGAUGUGCUAAAUGGUUGGUGGAAACGUCUUUAUGCGCAAAUAUGAAUACAAUAACCAUUCAUAUCGAAGUGAACUUGGAGUCACGCGAUGAUAUCACAGGAGGUUGGUGGCACCUUCAUUGGGGAGAACGGGACUCGUAAUGACUGGAGAGGAAUCAGUGGAAUGGUAUCAAAUACUGUACAUCAAACACGAGGUUUCCAGGUGUUUGAUGCCAUUCCAUUUGCUCCGUUCCGGACAUUAUUAUGAGCUGUUGUCCACUUCAUAAUAUGGUGUGUCGUCCUCCCACUAUGACUCGGGGAAAGCAUGCAGUUUAUUAGGCUACGGAUGAAAUAAGUUACGAUGAACUUCACAGGGUGGUGAACGUGUUCUUGAUGCUCCUUUCCAAUAACUAUCAAGGGUCUUAUUCUGGUGACAUGAUGAUCGAUGCUUGACUGCCAUUUGACAAAUAAAAAAAUAUUCUGGCUUUUAUCCAUAAUAAUCUCAUCAUGUAGACUAGCCUACCCGCACAGUAUCAGCAAGCUGUUGGCUGGAAUGCACAUGCCAAGACCAGAGUAGGCACAUUUGCUAUUUAACUAUUUAACAAUGUUUUGGUACAAUGGAAACACGUAGAACUUUACAUUGUUUUUUUCCGUACGUGACAAAUGAAGUGAAACAGUACAUGUUGUGUGCACUAUGUCAUCACGCACCGAUUUUUUUUUCUGUCCGCAACAAGUUUGUUUGGUGGAAACACCACUGGUGGGAAAUGCGCAUAUUUUCUUUACGCAGAUUUGUUCAACAUUUGCAUGAAAAUCUGUCACCUAUUGGAUGGAAACCUAGCUACAGUAAUUUCAUAGCCUGAGUUGCAUCAACGUGAGAAGAUGCAUAUCUCUGCAACUGUAUAAAUAAAUAUAAUGUGCCACGGACUGUAAGCUGUGUAAGCUGCCUGGGAUGAAAGCCACUGCCAGGCCCCAAGUAUUAUUUAUCACUUAUUUAAGAUACAGGCGUCUGACAUGGCUUCCUGGCCCUGCCCAGCUCUACAGCUGCACCCUCCCCUCCCUUAGCGACAGAAAUGGGCUGCAUCCCAAAUGUCACCCUAUUCCCUAUAGUGCACUACUUUUGACCAGGCCCCAUAGGGCUCUGGUAAAAAAAAGUAGUGCACUGUAUAGGGAAAAGGGUGCCAUUUGGGAUUGGGACGUAGCCAGUGACACCGCUACUGGGCGGUGCUGUGCGGUGUGGGAGAUCAUGAGAAGGAAGUGGUGUCUUUUUAUAGAGUCAUUAACACAAGUUUUGCCUAGAUAUAUUUAUUUACACAAGAGGCAUAAAUAAGGAGGCCCGGCGUUGGGGCUAGGGUUUAAUAGGGUUGGUCUCAUACGGAGGCGCUUACGCAACCUUCCCUCCCAGAUGCCUUGGCCCGUAGGUCCCAAAUAGACAUGUUAAUGUUGAUCCUGCUACCAACACUGUUUGCCUUUCUGUUCGGGACGCACCGGCCCAGGCAACAUAAAUGUCAGCUUGUGAUGAGGUAGUGUCCUGUGAUGAGGUAGUGUCCUGUGAUGAGGUAGUGUCCUGUGAUGAGGUAGUGUCCUGUGAUGAGGUAGUGUCCUGUGAUGAGGUAGUGUCCUGUGAUGAGGUAGUGUCCUGUGAUGAGGUAGUGUCCUGUGAUGAGGUAGUGUCCUGUGAUGAGGUAGUGUCCUGUGAUGAGGUAGUGUCCUGUGAUGAGGUAGUGUCCUGUGAUGAGGUAGUGUCCUGUGAUGAGGUAGUGUCCUGUGAUGAGGUAGUGUCCUGUGAUGAGGUAGUGUCCUGUGAUGAGGUAGUGUCCUGUGAUGAGGUAGUGUCCUGUGAUGAGGUAGUGUCCUGUGAUGAGGUAGUGUCCUGUGAUGAGAUAUGUGAUGAG
Long non-coding RNA from Oncorhynchus keta (chum salmon), 2315 nucleotides. RefSeq lists it as uncharacterized. Lineage: Eukaryota; Metazoa; Chordata; Actinopteri; Salmoniformes; Salmonidae. The record is from RefSeq and is a predicted model, not a curated record. The transcript has 3 exons.